AACGAACGCUGGCUGCAUGCCUAACACAUUCAAGUCUAACGAGACCUUCGGGUCUAGUGGCGCACGGGUGCGUAUCGCGUGGGAACCUGCUCUUAGGUUCGGAAUAACUCCCCGAAAGGGGUUCUAAUACCGGAUAAUGUCUUCGGACCAAAGAUUUAUCGCCUUUGGAUGGGGCCGCGUUGGAUUAGCUAGUUGGUAGGGUAAAAGCCUACCAAGGCGACGAUCCAUAGCUGGUCUGAGAGGAUGAUCAGCAACACUGGGACUGAGACACGGCCCAGACUCCUACGGGAGGCCGCAGUGGGGAAUAAUGGCCCAUGGGCGAAAGCAUGAGCCAGCCAUGCCGCGUGAGUGAUGAAGGCCUUAGGGUUGUAAAGCUAUAUUCACCGGGAUGAUAAUGACAGAACCGGGAGAAUAAGUUACGACUAAAUACGUG
RNAcentral lists this ribosomal RNA (433 nucleotides) under uncultured bacterium. RNAcentral describes it as "partial 16S ribosomal RNA". It matches the Rfam family "Bacterial small subunit ribosomal RNA", at positions 29 to 507 of the family's 1533-position model. The record is from RNAcentral.